GAUGAACGCUGGCGGCGUGCCUAAUACAUGCAAGUCGAACGAGUUUUGGUCGAUGAACGGUGCUUGCAYUGUGAUUCAACUUAAAACGAGUGGCGGACGGGUGAGUAACACGUGGGUAACCUGCCCUUAAGUGGGGGAUAACAUUUGGAAACAGAUGCUAAUACCGCAUAAAUCCAAGAACCGCAUGGUUCUUGGCUGAAAGAUGGCGYAAGCUAUCGCUUUUGGAUGGACCCGCGGCGUAUUAGCUAGUUGGUGAGGUAACRGCUCACCAAGGCGAUGAUACGUAGCCGAACUGAGAGGUUGAUCGGCCACAUUGGGACUGAGACACGGCCCAAACUCCUACGGGAGGCAGCAGUAGGGAAUCUUCCACAAUGGACGCAAGUCUGAUGGAGCAACGCCGCGUGAGUGAAGAAGGCUUUCGGGUCGUAAAACUCUGUUGUUGGAGAAGAAUGGUCGGCAGAGUAACUGUUGUCGGCGUGACGGUAUCCAACCAGAAAGCCACGGCUAACUACGUGCCAGCAGCCGCGGUAAUACGUAGGUGGCAAGCGUUAUCCGGAUUUAUUGGGCGUAAAGCGAGCGCAGGCGGUUUUUUAAGUCUGAUGUGAAAGCCCUCGGCUUAACCGAGGAAGCGCAUCGGAAACUGGGAAACUUGAGUGCAGAAGAGGACAGUGGAACUCCAUGUGUAGCGGUGAAAUGCGUAGAUAUAUGGAAGAACACCAGUGGCGAAGGCGGCUGUCUGGUCUGUAACUGACGCUGAGGCUCGAAAGCAUGGGUAGCGAACAGGAUUAGAUACCCUGGUAGUCCAUGCCGUAAACGAUGAAUGCUAGGUGUUGGAGGGUUUCCGCCCUUCAGUGCCGCAGCUAACGCAUUAAGCAUUCCGCCUGGGGAGUACGACCGCAAGGUUGAAACUCAAAGGAAUUGACGGGGGCCCGCACAAGCGGUGGAGCAUGUGGUUUAAUUCGAAGCAACGCGAAGAACCUUACCAGGUCUUGACAUCUUUUGAUCACCUGAGAGAUCAGGUUUCCCCUUCGGGGGCAAAAUGACAGGUGGUGCAUGGUUGUCGUCAGCUCGUGUCGUGAGAUGUUGGGUUAAGUCCCGCAACGAGCGCAACCCUUAUGACUAGUUGCCAGCAUUCAGUUGGGCACUCUAGUAAGACUGCCGGUGACAAACCGGAGGAAGGUGGGGAUGACGUCAAAUCAUCAUGCCCCUUAUGACCUGGGCUACACACGUGCUACAAUGGAUGGUACAACGAGUUGCGAGACCGCGAGGUCAAGCUAAUCUCUUAAAGCCAUUCUCAGUUCGGACUGUAGGCUGCAACUCGCCUACACGAAGUCGGAAUCGCUAGUAAUCGCGGAUCAGCACGCCGCGGUGAAUACGUUCCCGGGCCUUGUACACACCGCCCGUCACACCAUGAGAGUUUGUAACACCCGAAGCCGGUGGCGUAACCCUUUUAGGGAGCGAGCCGUCUAAGGUGGGACAAAUGAUUAGGGUGAAGUCGUAACAAGGUAGCCGUAGGAGAACC
This 1522-nucleotide ribosomal RNA is filed under the name Lacticaseibacillus sp. RNAcentral describes it as "bacterial SSU rRNA". The record is from RNAcentral. Lineage: Bacteria; Bacillati; Bacillota; Bacilli; Lactobacillales; Lactobacillaceae.